Molecule: ribosomal RNA, 402 nt
Filed under: uncultured bacterium
Lineage: Bacteria
Description: bacterial SSU rRNA
Rfam family: Bacterial small subunit ribosomal RNA
Source: RNAcentral
UGGGGAAUCUUAGACAAUGGGCGCAAGCCUGAUCUAGCCAUGCCGCGUGAGCGAUGAAGGCCUUAGGGUUGUAAAGCUCUUUCGUGGGGGAAGAUAAUGACUGUACCCCAAGAAGAAGCCCCGGCUAACUCCGUGCCAGCAGCCGCGGUAAUACGGAGGGGGCUAGCGUUGUUCGGAAUUACUGGGCGUAAAGCGCACGUAGGCGGAACAGAAAGUCAGAGGUGAAAUCCCAGGGCUCAACCUUGGAACUGCCUUUGAAACUCCUGUUCUUGGGGUCGAGAGAGGUGAGUGGAAUUCCGAGUGUAGGGGUGAAAUUCGUAGAUAUUCGGAGGAACACCAGUUGCGAAGGCGGCUCACUGGCUCGAUACUGACGCUGAGGUGCGAAAGCGUGGGGAGCAAACA